GAUGAACGCUGGCGGCGUGCUUAACACAUGCAAGUCGAGCGAAGCACUUUUGCGGAUUUCUUCGGAUUGAAGCAACUGUGACUGAGCGGCGGACGGGUGAGUAACGCGUGGGUAACCUGCCUCAUACAGGGGGAUAACAGUUGGAAACGGCUGCUAAUACCGCAUAAGCGCACAGUACCGCAUGGUACGGUGUGAAAAACUCCGGUGGUAUGAGAUGGACCCGCGUCUGACUAGCUAGUUGGUGGGGUAACGGCCUACCAAGGCGACGAUCAGUAGCCGACCUGAGAGGGUGACCGGCCACAUUGGGACUGAGACACGGCCCAAACUCCUACGGGAGGCAGCAGUGGGGAAUAUUGCACAAUGGGGGAAACCCUGAUGCAGCGACGCCGCGUGAGCGAUGAAGUAUUUCGGUAUGUAAAGCUCUAUCAGCAGGGAAGAAAAUGACGGUACCUGACUAAGAAGCCCCGGCUAACUACGUGCCAGCAGCCGCGGUAAUACGUAGGGGGCAAGCGUUAUCCGGAUUUACUGGGUGUAAAGGGAGCGUAGACGGCAUGGCAAGCCAGAUGUGAAAGCCCGGGGCUCAACCCCGGGACUGCAUUUGGAACUGUCAGGCUAGAGUGUCGGAGAGGAAAGCGGAAUUCCUAGUGUAGCGGUGAAAUGCGUAGAUAUUAGGAGGAACACCAGUGGCGAAGGCGGCUUUCUGGACGAUGACUGACGUUGAGGCUCGAAAGCGUGNGGAGCAAACAGG
This 748-nucleotide ribosomal RNA is filed under the name uncultured bacterium. RNAcentral's name for it is "bacterial SSU rRNA". It matches the Rfam family "Bacterial small subunit ribosomal RNA", at positions 28 to 776 of the family's 1533-position model. The record is from RNAcentral.